Molecule: ribosomal RNA, 162 nt
Filed under: uncultured bacterium
Lineage: Bacteria
Description: partial 16S rRNA
Rfam family: Bacterial small subunit ribosomal RNA
Source: RNAcentral
UAGGAUCUUCCACAAUGGACGAAAGUCUGAUGGAGCAACGCCGCGUGAGUGAAGAAGGGUUUCGGCUCGUAAAACUCUGUUGUUAAAGAAGAACAUAUCUGAGAGUAACUGUUCAGGUAUUGACGGUAUUUAACCAGAAAGCCACGGCUAACUACGUGCCAC